This 68-nucleotide microRNA precursor is filed under the name Daphnia pulex (common water flea). RNAcentral's name for it is "Dpu-Novel-8_pre stem-loop". The record is from RNAcentral. Lineage: Eukaryota; Metazoa; Arthropoda; Branchiopoda; Diplostraca; Daphniidae.
UCGUGGAGUAUAGGAGAAUCCCGUAUAUCGUCUGUUUCACUUCUGAUUCUCCAUUACUCCUUUGACGG